GGAAGGUUCAGCCCCCUCUGCGGACCAGGAAAGUUUAUUGUGCUUUUCCUGUCUGUUUUACAAUCCUUUGUUAGCUAUUUGCUCAACAUGGUGACCCAAGGGGUGACCUUCGCAUACAUAACUUGUAAGAAGCUAUUUCAGCAUGCAUGUUCCACCUGAAGGCAGGGCACACCCUCCUGCUAAUCUUGUGAACUCAGAACAAAAUACAGCAGUUGACUAAAAAUGACCACAUCUAUCAAUCUCUAAAUCACAUUCCAAGGAGGCUUAGGAAGAAAAAAAGGUGAACCAUCAUAAGAAAAACGAAGCAUUGCAUAACAGUCAAUAAAAGUAGCUGGAAAACCCUC
Molecule: long non-coding RNA, 344 nt
Organism: Heteronotia binoei (common prickly gecko)
Lineage: Eukaryota; Metazoa; Chordata; Lepidosauria; Squamata; Gekkonidae
Exons: 2
Source: RefSeq, a predicted model, not a curated record